Molecule: long non-coding RNA, 6106 nt
Organism: Mustela lutreola (European mink)
Lineage: Eukaryota; Metazoa; Chordata; Mammalia; Carnivora; Mustelidae
Exons: 3
Source: RefSeq, a predicted model, not a curated record
CUAUGAAGCUUAUUUCGAGUCUGUCAGAUUAUGCUUCCUUCCUCACUAUCUUAAACUUUCAUAUUCAGUUAUACUCGUAUAUAAAUGUUUUAUUAUUUAUUUAAAAAAGAUUUUUAUUUAUAACCCAAUUUGGGGCUUGACCCCAAGAAACUUGCAGAGGCUUUAACCCCCUGAGCCACCCAGGCACCCCUAUAAAUGUUUUAUUAAAACAAUUUUUACAGGGAUGCCUGGGUGGCUCAGUUGGUUAAGUGACUGCCUUCGGCUCAGGUCAUGAUCCUGGAGUCUUGGGAUCGAGUCCCGCCAUCGGGCUCCCUGCUCAGCAGGAAGUCUUUUUCUCCCUCUGACCCUCCCACUUCUCAUGCUGUCUCUCUCAAAUAAAUAAAUCUUUAAAAAAUAUAUCUAUUUAAAAAAAAAAAACAAAAAGAAAUGAUUUUUACAACAUUCUUGUCUGAGGCACUACAUAACAAGUUCCCAAUAAGUUCAAAUGAAUUAUGGCUUCAUUUCUUAACAGUGAUUUGUUGACCUGAACCACAAUGCAACAGUGUCAAACUAGAACUAAAACUUAAAUCUCCCCAUUUCUAAUUCAAGUUACUAUCAAUUUGGCCAAAAAGCCUAUAUAAGAUUCAAGGUAAUGGGUCUGGGCCAUACUCUGUGUCUUCUACUGAGCACAUACCUAGAUUCUACCAUCAUGGCCGAUGCUUGAUAAAGGAGCUGGGUCUGGUGGUCUGUGUUGAACCCUCGAGCAUAUGCUACAUUAUCCAGGACAUCACUGCCAGAGAGGCCAUAUCUAGAAGAAAACAGAGAACGGUUUUAGACUGCAAAGAAAACUUAGAUUGGAAAUUAAUAGUAAAGAGAUUGCUUGAUUAGGUAAGAAGUGUUAAGGUUAAAGAAUAUUAAUUCCCUUUCUAUUAGAAAUCCAGGCAAACUAGAGAGAGAUGACCGGAGUCACUCCUUUGGGGUAGAUUGAUAGGACUUCAGGAUAAAUCAAAUUUAGUCUCUCAGGACUCCUGAGCCAAAACGAAUUUCCAAAUCAUGUUCCAAGUACUCUCCUGGAAAAACCAAUGCAACAUGACAGAACUGGAACUGAAACAAAAAUAACAAAGAUCAAUUAAAUUCAUAUAAAUUGAUGUUAUAGAGGAAUAAAACCUUUUUCUUCUUUUUUUUUAAGAGAGGGAGAGAGUAGGGGUGGGGGGCAGAGGGAGAGAAUCUACAGCAAGCCCUGUAGCCAGCACAGAGCCAGAUGUGGCAUUCAGUCUCACGACCCUGAGAUUAUGACAUGACUGAAAUCAAGAGUCAGAUGCUUCACCACAUGAACCACCCAGGCACCCCUAGGAAUAAAAGCUUCUAAACAAGUGGCUCAGUGGGUUAAGCUCUGCCUUCAGCUCGGGUCAUGAUCUCAAGGUCCAUGAUCCCAGGCACCCUUCACAAUCCAAUUUUAAAACAUUUCCAUCAUCCCCAAAAGAUCUUUCAACUUAGAUCCCAUUCUAACCAAGUACAUUUUCCAACAUUAUAAAAUAUAUUUUUCAUAUCAGCCAGAGUCUUUGUGCUUUUCUUAGCCACUUCACCUGCUGUUUUGGCCACCAUCAACACAAGCAGAAGUUUAGCUUUGGCAUUAAGUGGAUUGAUGAUCAUGAAUUAUUAAGUCUGGGCAUAAAGAUAAAGAGAAUAAGGAUAGAAGUUUACCUUGGAAUCUUGACCAAACAUAGAUUGCGGAUAAGGAGAAAAAAACUUCGAUAUUUAAAUCAUUGCUGUAAGAAAGAGAUUCAAGGGGCCUAAGUGCUGUAGCACACAAGUCUAGAUUUGUUCCAGAAACACUGAUACCAUCUGUCAGGAAAGGAGAUUAUCUUUAGCUAUCAGAAUAUGGAUGGUUGGGGCACCUGGGUGGCUCAGUGGGUCCUGGGAUCAAGCCCCACAUCGGGCACUCUGCUCAGCAGGGAGCCUGCUUCCCUCCUCUGUCUCACUGCCUGCCUCUCUGCCUAUUUGUGCUGUCAAAUAAAUAAACCUUAAAAAAAAAAAAAAAAAAAAGAAUGUGGAUGGUUUACCAGGAAAAAAAAAAAAGACUUAUCCUGGCCUUUAUGUCAGCAGCAUUCACAAAAAACACUAUAGAUCUCUUUGGUUACAUUCCUGAAGGAGCACAUGGAAUUUUCAAUUCCCACAAUGUGGAAAAAGCUGGCUAGAAAUAAACAUCAUCUCUCAUAUGUUUCCAGAACUUCCUUAAAGAAUAACAUGGAACACCUAUAAAAAAAAUUCCCAGGCCUGAGACUUAAUAAAUCAUAAUUUUCGGGGAAGAAAAAGGUUUUAUUCCUUUAUAACAACAAUUUAUAUGAAUUAAUCAUUAACACAUAAUGAAUUCUGUGUUAAUCUGUGUAGUUAACAAAUAACUUCAGGUGAUUCUUAACAUGUAAGUUUGAAAAAGAGCUAUACUGCCUCAAGAUGGGUUCUGGCAUUCUUUCAUAUGGGUUAAAAGAAGUUUCAAAAGAGAUGGUGACACUGGGCACCUGGGUGGCUCAGCUGGUUGAACAUCUGGCUCUAGAUUUCAGCUCAGGUCAUGAUCUCAUGGGUUGUGGAUUCGAGCCCCAUGUCAGGCUCCGUGCUCAGAAGGGAGUCUGCUUCAGAUUCUUUUUCUCCCUUUCCCUCUGCCCCUCCCAUCCUGGUCUCCCUAUAAUAAAUAAAACUUACAAAAAGAAAAGGUGGUGACACUGUGGCUAGCAAUUAUGGCCACAGUUCUUUAACUUUAGCUAUCAUCUCCUUCAUUGGAGAGCUUGAGAAAACAUUGCUGGACUGUAUCCUGAGUCUCUACAGUUUCUGAUUCAAUAGAUGGAAAGGAGUCAGAGGAUUUGUACUUCAAACAAAUUCCUAGGUGAUGCUAAAUACAGCUGUAUUGAGAACUGUGUUCUGAGAAGCCAUGAACUAGAAUAUAACCUGGAUUAGGUUGGGGUGGUCAAUAUUAUUCAAAAGGUAAAACUAAUGAGGGUUGUUCUGUUGUGAGGGGAAAUUAGCUAUUACCUUAAGGAGUUUGGUAACUUCCCCAAAACUAUAAACGCAAUAUAAUAAAUUCAAUUAUAAGAAAUGUUCUUGAUAGGCAAAAAUGAUAAAACUAAUGACAUUUCUCUUUAAACCUAUUUUUGCUAGGGGGACCUGGGUGGCUCAGUGGGUUGGGGCCUCUGCCUUCGGCUCGGGUCAUGAUCCCAGCGUACCAGGAUCGACCCCUGCAUCGGGCUCUCUGCUUGGCAGGAAGCCUGCUUCCUCCUCUCUCUUUCUCUGCCUACUUGUAAUCUCUGUCAGGUAAAUAAGUAAAAUCUUUAAAAAAAAGAAAAAAAAAACCAUAUUUUUCCUGUAGUUCCUGUAGUUGACAUAAACAUGGCUCCACUUAAUAAAUACUCCUUCAUUAAUGCUGUUUGCCCUUUUUUAGGGCUUAGGGAUACAGUCAGUGAGCAAAACAAAGCCCUGUCCUCAGAGGCAACAUUCUACUAUCUCAUCUAUCCUAUCUUAACACUCAUUUAGGUUAGUGGGCAAAACUUUUAAUGACUUUAUUAAAAAAAAAAAAACCCUCCACUAUUAAAACUAUACUUAAAAAUUAAAAGGGUGAUUAAAAAAAAAAAGAUUUUAUUUAUUUGACAGAGACACAGGGAGAGAGGGAACACAAGAAGAGGAGUAGGAAAAAAAAAAAAAAAAAAAAAAAAGAAGAGGAGUAGGAGAGGGAGAAGCAGCUUCCCGCUGAGUAGGGAACCCGAUGAGGGGCUCAAUCCCAGGACCCUGGGAUCAUGACCUGAGCCGAAGGCAAACACUUAAUGACUGAGCCACUCAGGUGCCCCAAAAAGUGUGAUUUCUGUACAAGAACAAAAAUAACUUUGGGAGGGAAGAUAACAGUUUAGUAUACUCAUCUUUAUUUAUUUUUUAAAGAUUUUAUGUAUUUAUUUGAGAGAGAGAGAGCCAGAGAAUACAAGCAAGGGGAGUGGCAGAGGGAAAGGAGAAGCAGGCUCCCUGCUGAGCAGAGAACCUGAUGUAGGGCUCUAUCCCAGGACCCUGGGAUCAUGAUCUGAACUGAAGGCAGAGGCUUAACUGACUGAGCCACCCAGGCACCCCAGUAUACUCUUCUUUAGAAACCUAAAAUCAGGUGCAAGAGAGGAAUUCUUUUUUCCUGACAGAUUCUGUAAGCACACGCAAAGAGCUGCACUUACUGUUCCAACUGAUAUUUUUGCCUCAAUGGUAUACAUUCAAUAGCUCAGAUUCCUCAAAUCGUAAACUGGGGCAGAUAAUUUGGUCAUAAUUCUAAAACUAAAAAGGAAAAUUCUCAACUUAGGCAAGUUCCAACUUGGGUCUGACAUCUCAACAUGCAAUUAAAUGAUAUUUAAUCACUAGAUUUCGGUAAAAUGUGUGGUAGGACAUAAUUAUCACAUUUUGCCCUAGACAAGGGAAAAUACGUUAAACAAAUUUGAGGGUUUAUUUGAAAGAUUAGGGAACAGAGAAAAUUAUAUAUUCUUUACCAGCUUUACUGAGGUAUUCUGUAUACCAUCAAAUCAAUCUGCUUUAAGUCUACAACUGAAUGACUUUUUAAAGUUUGUUUGUUUAUUUAUUUAUUUAUUUAUCAGAGAGAGAGAGAGAGAGAGAGAGUCGACAGUAGGGGUAGUGUCUGGCAGAGGGAGAAGCAGGCUCCAUGCUGAGCAAGGAGCCCAGUGUGAGACUCAGUUCCAGGAUGCUGCAAUCAUGACCUGAGCUGAAUGAAGAAGAUUAACCGACUGAGCCACUCAGGCAUCCCUGAAUGACUUUUUAAUAAUAAAAUCUGCAGAGUUGUACCAUCUUCAUCACAAUCCAAUUUUUUCCCCCAAGAUUUAUUUAUUUGACAGAGAUCACAAGUAGGCAGAGAGGCAGGCAGAGAGAGAGAGGAGGAAGCAGGCUCCCUGCUGAGCAGAGAGCCGGAUGUGGGGCUUGAUCCCCGGACCCUGUGAUCAUGAUCUGAGCCAAAGGCAGAGGCUUUAACCCACUGAGCCACCCAGGCACCCUUCACAAUCCAAUUUUAAAACAUUUCCAUCAUCCCCAAAAGAUCUUUCAAGUCUAUCUGUAGUUAUUCCUACUUCCUGCUCCAGGCAACCGCUAAUCCAUUGCUCUAUAGAUUUUCUCCUUCUGGGAAUUUCUUAUAAAUGAAAUCAUAAAAUAUACGAUCUUGUGUGUCUAGGUUCUAUUUAGUAUGUCUUCUGAGGCUCAUCUAUGGUAUGACAUGCAUGGGUACAUCAUUCCAUUUCACUGUUUAAUAGUACUCCACUGUAUGCAUAAAUCAGAUUUUGUUUAUUCAUCCAUCAGUUGAUGUGCAACUGGGUUAUUUCCAGUUUGGGGCUAUUAUAACAAUAUUAUAACAUCUACAAACAAGUCUCUAUGUGGGCACGUUUUCUUACCUCUUGGGCACAUAACCAGAGCCAAACUGCUCUGUUAUGUGGUAAUUUUAUAGUUAACUACCACACUGCUUUCCAUAGUGGCUUCACCAUUUUACAUUCUUACUAGCAAGGUAUUAGGGUUCCAGUUUCUCUAUAUCCUAAUACUUGUUACUGCCUAUUUUGUUACAGCCAUCCUAAUGGUGGUACCUCACUGUGGUUUUGUUUUUCCCCUUGACUAAUGAUGUUGAACAUCUUUUCAUGUGCUUCUAGGCCAUUUAUCGUCUUUGGAGAACAGCUGUAAAAAUCCUUUGCUCAUUUUUUAAUUGGGUUGUCUCUCUAUUGCUGGAUUAAGAGGACUUUGUAACUCUGGAUACUAAACCCUUCAGAAAUACGAUUUGCAAAUAUUUUCUCACAUCCUUUGGUUUGUCUUUUCACUUUCUUAAUAAUGUCCUUUGAAGCACAAAACUUCUAAAUUUUGAUGAAAUGAAAACUAUUUGAAAACUAUUAUCAAUGUUUUCUUUAAUGGAUGCUUUUUGGUGUUAUAUCUAAGAAAUCUACCUACCUCAAGCUCAACAAAUAUUUUCUCCUGCCCUUUUUUUCCCUGUAAGCUUUAUAGUUUUAUUCUUACAUUUACGACCAUGAUUUUUAAAAUAAUAAUAAAUAUACACGACAUACAAUUGACUAUUUUAAUCUUUUUAAAAAUGUAUAGUCCUAGGGGUGCCUGGGUGGCUCAG